UUUCAUCCUCUCAUCGAAAGCCUUAUUUCCAACCUGUGGGCAACCAAAAACAAAAGCCGCCACCGGAAUAUCAUCGGCCACACCAUUCUCAGCCACAUCGAAAGCACUUAUAACCGAUAAGCUAGCUCCCAAGCUAUGCCCGGUAAACACUAUACUUAGAUUUUCAUUUUUAUAUCUCUCUUUCAACUCUUUAAUCUUCCCCAAAAGCUGUGUCCUUGCACUUACUUUUGUAAAAGGUGACUUGGGAUCGUCAGAAAUGUAAAUCGUCAGCCAACCAAGCAUCACUUUAGGCUUCUUCUCACUAUCAUCAUCGCUAUCACUGCUGCUACUUGUAUCAUCUUUUUCCUUGUUAGUACUACUAGUGUUUUCGUUGACUCGCAAAAGGGGUUUUGCAGACUCAAGCUUUGCACCAAGAACAUUAACCCACUCAUAGUCUCUCGUAGUUCCUCGCCACACUACGUAGAUCUCGCGACGACCCAGAGCUUCUGUCCUUUCAUCGGACGUCGUGGCGAUGUAGCCAAUCCAGUUUGAUUCGCGGUCCC
RNAcentral lists this long non-coding RNA (542 nucleotides) under Theobroma cacao (cacao). RNAcentral's name for it is "long non-coding RNA (TCAC_LNC000147)". The record is from RNAcentral. Lineage: Eukaryota; Viridiplantae; Streptophyta; Magnoliopsida; Malvales; Malvaceae.